RNAcentral lists this ribosomal RNA (468 nucleotides) under uncultured bacterium. RNAcentral's name for it is "bacterial SSU rRNA". It matches the Rfam family "Bacterial small subunit ribosomal RNA", at positions 29 to 518 of the family's 1533-position model. The record is from RNAcentral.
ACGAACGCUGGCGGCGUGCUUCAUACAUGCAAGUCGAACGAUAAGGUCUCUUCGGAGAUACAUAAGUGGCGGACGGGUGAGUAAUGUGUAGAGAAUCUGCCCCAGAGAGGGGGACAACAGUUGGAAACGACUGCUAAUACCGCAUAUGCGCGUACCUGUGAUGGUAUUCGUGAAAACUUCGGUGCUCUGGGAUGAGUCUGCAUCUGAUUAGCUAGUUGGGGGUGUAAUGGACCACCAAGGCGACGAUCAGUAGCUGGUUUGAGAGGAUGAUCAGCCACAAUGGGACUGAGACACGGCCCAUACUCCUACGGGAGGCAGCAGUAGGGAAUUUUGCGCAAUGGGCGAAAGCCUGACGCAGCAACGCCGCGUGAUUGAAUAAGCCCUUCGGGGUGUAAAGAUCUGUCAGUGGGGACGAAACUUGACGGUACCCACAGAGGAAGCAUCGGCUAACUCCGUGCCAGCAGCGGC